GUUAAGCGACUAAGCGUACACGGUGGAUGCCCUGGCAGUCAGAGGCGAUGAAGGACGUGCUAAUCUGCGAUAAGCGCCGGUAAGGUGAUAUGAACCGUUAUAACCGGCGAUUUCCGAAUGGGGAAACCCAGUGUGACUCGUCACACUAUCAUUAACUGAAUCCAUAGGUUAAUGAGGCGAACCGGGGGAACUGAAACAUCUAAGUACCCCGAGGAAAAGAAAUCAACCGAGAUUCCCCCAGUAGCGGCGAGCGAACGGGGAGGAGCCCAGAGCCUGAAUCAGCAUGUGUGUUAGUGGAAGCGUCUGGAAAGGCGCGCGAUACAGGGUGACAGCCCCGUACACAAAAGCGCAUAUGCUGUGAGCUCGAUGAGUAGGGCGGGACACGUGGUAUCCUGUCUGAAUAUGGGGGGACCAUCCUCCAAGGCUAAAUACUCCUGACUGACCGAUAGUGAACCAGUACCGUGAGGGAAAGGCGAAAAGAACCCCGGCGAGGGGAGUGAAAAAGAACCUGAAACCGU
RNAcentral lists this ribosomal RNA (518 nucleotides) under Salmonella enterica. Its description in RNAcentral is "partial 23S ribosomal RNA". It matches the Rfam family "Bacterial large subunit ribosomal RNA", at positions 1 to 559 of the family's 2925-position model. Lineage: Bacteria; Pseudomonadati; Pseudomonadota; Gammaproteobacteria; Enterobacterales; Enterobacteriaceae. The record is from RNAcentral.